CAGCGCCCUCCGUUGCCUCAGGCCCAGCACGGCCAGGCCGGCCUUGUUCGCCACUGCCACAGGCAUCCGCGCCCGGAAGUCCCGCCUUCCCCCACCUCUCUUCGCUUCCGUUUUUGGCGCAAUGCACCACGGGAGGACCCAAAGUGGCCAGACUGGGAGACAAAGUUUAUAAAUAAAUAAAU
Molecule: long non-coding RNA, 182 nt
Organism: Sceloporus undulatus (fence lizard)
Lineage: Eukaryota; Metazoa; Chordata; Lepidosauria; Squamata; Phrynosomatidae
Exons: 2
Source: RefSeq, a predicted model, not a curated record